RNAcentral lists this ribosomal RNA (643 nucleotides) under uncultured bacterium. Its description in RNAcentral is "bacterial SSU rRNA". It matches the Rfam family "Bacterial small subunit ribosomal RNA", at positions 232 to 885 of the family's 1533-position model. The record is from RNAcentral.
CGCGGCCUAUCAGCUUGUUGGUGAGGUAAUGGCUCACCAAGGCUUCGACGGGUAGCCGGCCUGAGAGGGCGACCGGCCACACUGGGACUGAGAUACGGCCCAGACUCCUACGGGAGGCAGCAGUGGGGAAUAUUGCACAAUGGGCGCAAGCCUGAUGCAGCAACGCCGCGUGCGGGAUGACGGCCUUCGGGUUGUAAACCGCUUUCAGUAGGGACGAAGGGUGACUGACGGUACCUACAGAAGAAGGACCGGCUAACUACGUGCCAGCAGCCGCGGUGAUACGUAGGGUCCGAGCGUUGUCCGGAAUUAUUGGGCGUAAAGGGCUUGUAGGCGGUCCGUCGCGUCAGAAGUGAAAACUCAGGGCUUAACCCUGAGCCUGCUUUUGAUACGGGCGGACUAGAGGGAUGCAGGGGAGAACGGAAUUCCUGGUGGAGCGGUGGAAUGCGCAGAUAUCAGGAGGAACACCGGUGGCGAAGGCGGUUCUCUGGGCAUUACCUGACGCUGAGAAGCGAAAGCGUGGGGAGCAAACAGGCUUAGAUACCCUGGUAGUCCACGCCGUAAACGGUGGGCACUAGGUGUGGGGGACAUUCCACGUUCUCCGUGCCGCAGCUAACGCAUUAAGUGCCCCGCCUGGGGAGUACGG